Molecule: transfer RNA, 77 nt
Filed under: Staphylococcus capitis SK14
Lineage: Bacteria; Bacillati; Bacillota; Bacilli; Caryophanales; Staphylococcaceae
Also listed under: 1 other name
Description: tRNA-Gln
Rfam family: tRNA
About the family: Transfer RNA (tRNA) molecules are approximately 80 nucleotides in length.
Source: RNAcentral
UUGGGCUAUAGCCAAGCGGUAAGGCAACGGACUUUGACUCCGUCACGCGCUGGUUCGAAUCCAGCUAGCCCAGCCAU